Molecule: ribosomal RNA, 821 nt
Filed under: uncultured bacterium
Lineage: Bacteria
Description: bacterial SSU rRNA
Rfam family: Bacterial small subunit ribosomal RNA
Source: RNAcentral
AGAGUUUGAUCCUGGCUCAGAACGAACGCUGGCGGCAGGCCUAACACAUGCAAGUCGAACGCCCUAGCAAUAGGGAGUGGCAGACGGGUGAGUAACGCGUGGGAACCUUCCCUAUAGUACGGAAUAUACCAGGGAAACUUGGAGCAAUACCGUAUACGCCCGAAAGGGGAAAGAUUUAUCGCUAUAGGAUGGGCCCGCGUAGGAUUAGCUAGUUGGUGAGGUAAUGGCUCACCAAGGCGACGAUCCUUAGCUGGUCUGAGAGGCUGAUCAGCCACACUGGGACUGAGACACGGCCCAGACUCCUACGGGAGGCAGCAGUGGGGAAUAUUGGGCAAUGGGCGCAAGCCUGACCCAGCCAUGCCGCGUGAGUGACGAAGGCCUUAGGGUUGUAAAGCUCUUUUGGCGGGGACGAUAAUGACGGUACCCGCAGAAUAAGCCCCGGCUAACUUCGUGCCAGCAGCCGCGGUAAUACGAAGGGGGCUAGCGUUGUUCGGAAUCACUGGGCGUAAAGCGCACGUAGGCGGACUUUCAAGUCAGGGGUGAAAUCCCGGGGCUCAACCUCGGAACUGCCUUUGAUACUGUUGGUCUCGAGUCCGAUAGAGGUGGGUGGAAUUCCUAGUGUAGAGGCGAAAUUCGUAGAUAUUAGGAAGAACACCGGUGGCGAAGGCGGCCCACUGGAUCGGUACUGACGCUGAGGUGCGAAAGCGUGGGGGAGCAAACAGGAUUAGAUACCCUGGGUAGUCCACGCCGUAAACGAUGGAUGCUAGCCGUCGGCAAGCUUGCUUGUCGGUGGCGCAGCUAACGCAUUAAGCAUCCCGCCU